This 587-nucleotide ribosomal RNA is filed under the name uncultured bacterium. Its description in RNAcentral is "bacterial SSU rRNA". It matches the Rfam family "Bacterial small subunit ribosomal RNA", at positions 337 to 917 of the family's 1533-position model. The record is from RNAcentral.
UCCUACGGGAGGCAGCAGUGGGGAAUAUUGGACAAUGGGCGAAAGCCUGAUCCAGCCAUGCCGCGUGCAGGAUGAAGGCCUUCGGGUUGUAAACUGCUUUUGUACGGAACGAAAAGACUCUGGUUAAUACCUGGGGUCCAUGACGGUACCGUAAGAAUAAGCACCGGCUAACUACGUGCCAGCAACCGCGGUAAUACGUAGGGUGCAAGCGUUAAUCGGAAUUACUGGGCGUAAAGCGUGCGCAGGCGGUUAUAUAAGACAGAUGUGAAAUCCCCGGGCUCAACCUGGGAACUGCAUUUGUGACUGUAUAGCUAGAGUACGGCAGAGGGGGAUGGAAUUCCGCGUGUAGCAGUGAAAUGCGUAGAUAUGCGGAGGAACACCGAUGGCGAAGGCAAUCCCCUGGGCCUGUACUGACGCUCAUGCACGAAAGCGUGGGGAGCAAACAGGAUUAGAUACCCUGGUAGUCCACGCCCUAAACGAUGUCAACUGGUUGUUGGGUCUUCACUGACUCAGUAACGAAGCUAACGCGUGAAGUUGACCGCCUGGGGAGUACGGCCGCAAGGUUGAAACUCAAAUGAAUUGACGGA